RNAcentral lists this small nucleolar RNA (129 nucleotides) under Echinops telfairi (small Madagascar hedgehog). RNAcentral describes it as "Small nucleolar RNA SNORA40 (ENSETEG00000024097.1)". It matches the Rfam family "Small nucleolar RNA SNORA40". From Rfam's summary of the family: The snoRNA ACA 40 belongs to the H/ACA family of snoRNAs and guides the pseudouridylation of 28S rRNA subunit at position U4565. NB This family has a high threshold value to exclude a large number of closely related sequences that do not appear to have conserved H and ACA boxes, and may be pseudogenes. The record is from RNAcentral. Lineage: Eukaryota; Metazoa; Chordata; Mammalia; Afrosoricida; Tenrecidae.
GGCACUUGGUGUUUGUUGUUUGUCCAAUUAGUGACCAAACAACUCAAAGACAGGUGCAAGUAUACAUCCUCUUUUGCAACCAAAACUCAUUGUGCAGUAUGAGUUUGGAUACAGAUCAGAAGGGACAUG